AUUGAACGCUGGCGGCAGGCCUAACACAUGCAAGUCGAGCGGAUGAAGGGAGCUUGCUCCUGGAUUCAGCGGCGGACGGGUGAGUAAUGCCUAGGAAUCUGCCUGGUAGUGGGGGAUAACGUCCGGAAACGGGCGCUAAUACCGCAUACGUCCUGAGGGAGAAAGUGGGGGAUCCUCGGACCUCACGCUAUCAGCUGAGCCUAGGUCGGAUUAGCUAGUUGGUGGGGUAAAGGCCUACCAAGGCGACGAUCCGUAACUGGUCUGAGAGGAUGAUCAGUCACACUGGAACUGAGACACGGUCCAGACUCCUACGGGAGGCAGCAGUGGGGAAUAUUGGACAAUGGGCGAAAGCCUGAUCCAGCCAUGCCGCGUGUGUGAAGAAGGUCUUCGGAUUGUAAAGCACUUUAAGUUGGGAGGAAGGGCAGUAAGUUAAUACCUUGCUGUUUUGACGUUACCAACAGAAUAAGCACCGGCUAACUUCGUG
This 484-nucleotide ribosomal RNA is filed under the name uncultured bacterium. Its description in RNAcentral is "partial 16S ribosomal RNA". It matches the Rfam family "Bacterial small subunit ribosomal RNA", at positions 30 to 507 of the family's 1533-position model. The record is from RNAcentral.